GUUUGUGUGGAUUGAGGACAUGCUCUGCACUGGAAUAUAGAUCUCAUCCAUGGGCCUACCCUCCUGGAACUCUUGGAGCAGCAUUUCCACUCAUAUAUGGAAUAAACCAUGAAUGGUCAGGAAUAUGUGGGAAGUAAAAUGUGCCAAGGCGAGAAGAGAAGGGAGUAUUUGAGAAAUGCACGGAGGAGGAAUUCCAGAAUUGUUUCAGAAAGUGCCAAGGACAAUGGGAUAAGUGUGUUCAAUUGUGUGACAAUCUUUGCAGCGGGGCAGAAAGACUCAUCAUUUCGAGCACUGCUUUAAGCAUCUGCCACAGUCACCAGGCCUCAGAGGCACGGCAUACUGGUGGUGACAGAAACAGUACCGAUUGUCCCCUGCCUGCACUCUGCACCUGGGUUCUGCUGGAAAGAACACAAUGGAGAACAUAUUCCAGACUGCCGAGCUUGCCGCUAAACUCUGACAACCCAGACAUGAGAACAGAUAAGAAAAAAACAGAGGUCAGAGGCAUCAUUCAAGGAUAAAGAUAUUAGCAAGCGUCCUUCCAGCUGGAACAUUUUUCAUCUCCUCUUCAAAGAGUAAUCUCAGGGCAGCCACAGCCAUGGAAACAGAGUAUGGCAGGUGUCGCUGGGCUCUGCAUUAGAGGCCCAUCUUCCCCAGCAGGAAGGAGAAAGGCCGUAGCCUGGAAGAUGAAUGGGCUUGGGACAGCUUCGUCACGGUCUGCAAAGGGCGCAUUCUCCUCAAGCCCUGAUCAAUCAGGCCCUCCCACUGAAGGCCCUGUGCUAUCACUUUGGAGGGACUUGCAGCUCCUUUGUGUUGCCAACAGGGCACUUCUCAUCUGCUUGGGUGACCGAAAGCAUGAUGUGGCUUCCAGGGGGGCUGGCACGCGAUUCAGAGUAGAUUUGUUUCUUUGUUCGUUGGGGGAGGCUGGAGAUGCAGGAUGAUCGCACUAUUCCCGGGCAAGGGCUCCCGUGCCUUUGUUUGCAGAUUUGCUUGUUCGUUCAGUGUGGAAGAAGCAGUUUCAUGUCCUCUCUCGGGACGAAAGGACAAAGCACAGCACCAGGGGACAAUCCUGUGCCACGUGCCUGGACUCGCCAUCCCUGUGGCCCGAAAUAAGGGGCGGCCCGGCCAGCAUGGAUUCAGAUUUUGGCUCCAUCCUUGGUGUGUUUCUGGCAAGGCACUCACUGCCUCAGUCUCCCCAGACUGCAAGAUAAAGGUGAUUGUACUGACCUCCCAAUGUUGUGACAUGGAUAAAAAACAGUUCAAUUAAACAUCUGACAUGCAGUGAGACCAGUGUAAGGAAAGAAGAAAAGCCACCUUAGAAGCCCUCAGCAUCCGCAGUGGUAUGCCAGUGUAAGGGAGCUUCUCCUAGGGCCUUCCGAGAUGGGUACUGGUUAGCCAUGAGGCCAAAAGUGCAGUGGACAGCCGGUUCUCAGAGGGGUUCUCAGUGAACGGAAAGUGGAUCUUAGAUGCCACCUGCACGCCGGAGAGGACUGGAGCCCAGUGCAUUUCAGGGACUCAUGUGAGACCAAGAGCUACUAUUUCCAAAGCCAUCUCUGGGCCUCCCGAUGUCUCACCCAGGGCUUUCUCCACUGACCAAUAGUCCUAAUUCUAAGCAAAGAACAGACACAGCUAUGUUGUUCUGAACAAAAGCCCUGCUAGAGGGGGACCACCCAGAAACCAGCCAUGAGCUUCUCCUCCACUGGCCCUGCAGCACUGGCUUCCUCUCCUCCCUCCCCUCUGACUCCCCUUCAUCUCCCCUCUCCCUACCCCCUCUCCUGGGCAUAGCAAACAGGCCAGUCUGGCGUCCAGGAGGUGGCCUGUGGUGAUGUCAGCCUCUCCCCAGCACAGCUCCCAUUAUCACAGUCACUUGACCUUCCUCCCAGUGGCCCUGGACCUCAGCACAAGAAUGACUCAGCCAGGGCCUACUUUGGGGCUGCCUUCAAAGAAGGGUCUGGGUUAUCUCUGCUAAAUGUUACUGGCUAUGUCCCCUUGCAGUUGUUUCAGAGCCAGCUUGAACUUCACUCGCACUUUAGGGACAGGAUGUAAACUUUCUAAGUUUGUUUCCUUCAGAGAACUAUGACAAGAAUUUAUUGUUUGCUUCUGUUGAUUUAAAUUUUUUGUUCACAAAUUUCACUAUGAAAAUAUUCUAAACAUAGAAAAGUUGAAAUGCCUAUCACCAAAAUUCUACCAUUAUCAGUUUGCUAUGUCUUGCCUUAGAGCACAUUUAUCCAUUGGCCUGUCCAUUGGUUUAUCCACCUAUUGAUCUCAUUUUUUCAUAGGAAGAAAAGGGGCAAAGGGGAAGGGGAAGUGGGAGGGGUAGGGAAAUGAA
Heterocephalus glaber (naked mole-rat) is the source of this 2326-nucleotide long non-coding RNA. RefSeq lists it as uncharacterized. The record is from RefSeq and is a predicted model, not a curated record. Lineage: Eukaryota; Metazoa; Chordata; Mammalia; Rodentia; Bathyergidae.